CCAACCACACGUAUCUCUCUCUCCACGCCAACUUUUUGGCUGAGAUUUGACAUAGUUUUUUUUCUUUCUUUUUCUUAUAUACACUACACAACCAUAUAACCACCAGGACAUCCCAUUAACUUUAUCCAUCAUCACUACUCAUCUUCAUCAUUGCCGGAACAUAAACAUACAUGCCAUUCUUCAAACAAUCAUCAUCGAAAAUCAUUAAAACAUCACUCCACUACAAGAAAAUAAGAGUUUUACGACACAUAGGUCACGACGGUUGCUCAAUAACCGACCUUAUCCUCCACUCGCGACAGUUCCCAUGACACUUUUGGACAACCGCCCCUUUGUUUUAUAAAAAAAAUUAACAAGUCACGACGGUUGGUUCCUAAACCGCCGUAAGCCCUCUUCUACAAUAGUUAGGAACCCGCCGCCACCCUAAGAAGUUCAAAUGGUUCGCACGCAGAUUGAAAGGUAACGACAGUGAGUUCACCCGUCGUCCCCCAAAAUUCAUCUCCGCUAAUCAGAACAAUUUUCACUUUUUAUGUUCUUCUUUCUCUUCUUUUUCAUAAAUGCACGCCCUAUGUUCCUAAAAGAGGGAAACACACGCCCUAUGUUCCUAAAAGAGGGAAACGCACAUCUCUCUCAGCCGCUCACGCCGAUGUCAAAACCACCCUAAUUUCUUAACAGAAAGAAAUCAUGGGAAUUCAGAAAAAUCAAACGUUAGAAGUGAUUCCAAUUGUUGUGGCUGCUAGAUUCCCAUUGUUGCGGCUGAUCAUUCAUCUUCGUUUUGCUUUGAAAAUCUGAAUCACAUUUCUCUCUUGUUUAUUAAGAUUUAUAUAUGCUGGAUCAGUUGAUGUCACUCCAGAUAUUUCUCAAGACCUUCUUCAAGCAGCUGAUCAAUAUCUUUUUGAAGGACUAAAGAGACUCUAUGAAUACACAAUUACACAUGAUAUAUUUCUAGAGAACGUAUCGAGUAAGCAUGAACUUUCAGAAGCCUUCAACGCGAUAUAACUGAGGCAUGCAUGCAUUCUUUUUAUCUUGAAGCACUUUGAUAACUUGAGCGCAAGACCAGCGGUUCAGAACCGACACAAUUUCCUUUGGAGGCAGUGACCUAACCGUUGCGACUUAGAAUGACAGUUAGAGUGGCGGUUUUAACAGCCGUCGCAGUACAGUCUGGCGAACCACGUUUCAGCAACAAAAUCAAAACCGUCGUGACUUGCAAUUUACGGCGGUUUUAACCGCCUUAAACUUCCAAAAAUAAAUGUCGCAACUUGCCAAAUUUUUUUUGUAGUGCUCCAACCUUGAACCACCACAUGGCCAUCGUUUGAUUUCCUCCCCAUGGCAACAACAAUGACAAGCUCAAACCUCCAUCCACUUCUUCACUAUUCACAUUGCCACCAUUAAACCAACAUCACACCAUCCACUAAUUAAUAACAAUCUCUAUGAUAAAAACACUAUAAAAUCACCAAUCUUAUUCAACCAACACCUUCUCCAUGAUAUUUUUCCAUUUCCAAAUUUCCAAACAACACCAAACAUGACCAAAUCAUCAUUCAAAACUGCAACAACACAUCGUACAAACUUCAACAACACAAUCGAAGCUUCCUUCACCGUCGUGAACCGAAGUCGCACCUUCGCUGCAAAUCGCGCACCAUUAUCUCUUUCGAACAGACGCGCUUCCGUUUCUCGUCGGUAAUCUCUUUCCUCUAACUAUCAUUAUGUUUUCUUAACUUUAUUUUUGUGAUUGAGAUUUGUUACUUGAGAAAGAGAGUGAGAGAAACUUUGAAAAAUGAGGUUUUUUUGUGUGUGUGCAAGGAACCAUUGCUGGGGUUUGAAGAGUGUGAGAGAAUGAGAAAACAAGAGAUAAGAGUGAGAGAAAAGGGGAGAUGCGAGCCAUGGAAGCGGUGGGUUCGCCGCACUGUUGGUCGGACGACCGACCCUUUCCAUAAUGUGUGAGAUUGUGAGUGUUAUGUUUGGUUUUUUUUAUAUAAACAAAAGUUGUUACUGUAAAAAAGAAGAAAGGAAGGCGUGAGGAAGGAUAAAAGUAAACUUUUUUUUUACUCACUAAAAUACUCUCCUGCCAUGUGUCGUGAGUUGAUUGGAAAUUAUUUUAAACUUUGAAAAGAUUUACUUGGAUCUUCUCUCUGAGACCUAUAAAUUUCAACACUGUCUUAUUUUUCUUCUUUCUUUUCUUGUUUUGUUUUAAAUUAUUAUUAUUUAUUACUAUUAAUUAUUAAUUAUCAUUAUUAAUUAUACUUAUUAUUA
Long non-coding RNA from Lathyrus oleraceus (garden pea), 2247 nucleotides. RefSeq lists it as uncharacterized. The transcript is spliced from 6 exons. The record is from RefSeq and is a predicted model, not a curated record. Lineage: Eukaryota; Viridiplantae; Streptophyta; Magnoliopsida; Fabales; Fabaceae.